GACAUAGGUCGCAAACGUUAUCCGGAAUUACUGGGCGUAAAGCGCGCGCAGGCGGUCCUUUAAGUCAGGGGUGAAAGCCCAGAGCUCAACUCUGGAACUGCCUUUGAAACUAGAGGACUUGGGUACGGGAGAGGUGAGUGGAAUUCCGAGUGUAGAGGUGAAAUUCGUAGAUAUUCGGAAGAACACCAGUGGCGAAGGCGGCUCACUGGCCCGUUACCGACGCUCAGGCGCGACAGCGUGGGGAGCAAACAGG
This 253-nucleotide ribosomal RNA is filed under the name uncultured bacterium. RNAcentral describes it as "partial 16S ribosomal RNA". It matches the Rfam family "Bacterial small subunit ribosomal RNA", at positions 524 to 776 of the family's 1533-position model. The record is from RNAcentral.